CUGAAGUGAUCUGCCCACCUCGGCUUCCCAAAGUGCUGGGACUGCAGGUGUGAGCCACUGCGCCUGGCCCCUUCAGGUGGGUUUUGAGGCUUCACGUUGCUGCUGCAAUAAAUUACCACACACUUAGUGGCUUAAAACAGCACAGAGGUAUUCCCUUACAUUUCUGAAGGCCAGAAUUCUAAAAUCAGUCCCACUGAGUCAAGGUGGGAGCAGGGUCAGUGCCUUCCCAGGCUCUGCGGGAGAAUCUGUUUCCUGGCCCUGGAGGCGGCCUGUACUCCUUAGCUUGUGCUGCCCUUCUGGAAUGACUCGAGUUUCCUGCUUUCAUCACUACACCUCCCACCGCUCUCCAUCACCUGCUGUGCUCUUACGAGGAUCCAGCUGAGACAUGUUUUAGGAAGUUUGCUAAAAGACCCCUGGAGACGUCCUCAUUGUGGCCUCCCUGCUGUUGUGUUUAAUUUGGUUGAUCUUCUCUGCCCUCCUGCUUUUCAGAAUUAAAAGGCUAAAAAGAGUUUUCAGAGAAAUGGAAUAAUUGUAUUGCUGAUCUACGUAAACAAGUUGAAGAAUUGUCUGAAAGAAAAUAUGGUGUGUCUGAACUGGAAAAGUCCUGUGAUAGUUUGUUCAUGAGCAUUUACACAAUGGAGUUACUGUUCAUCAUGGGGGUACUGUGGACAAGCCCAGGGCUGCUGACAUAAUCUUAUGAAUUCAACACAUGAAGAUUUACAACUUGAUAAACCAGCUUCAGGAGAUCAGAACUUCUUACAAUACAACUGAUGUUACUCAGCCUAGAACAAAUACAACAGGGAUUGUGCUGCAUUCUGACUUAGGUUCUGCCAUCGAACACAGAAUGCCCUGAUCCUUAGAGGCAGAGGCAGCUCUUCAGCCUAUGGGGGCUGCUGUAAAAUAUUACAGGCAUGCUUUGAAGAUAUUACAGGUUUGGUUCCGCACCACUGCAGUAAAGUGAGUCACACACAUUUUUGUGUUACCCAGUGGAUAUAAAAGUUGUAUUUUGGGCCAGGCUCCCUCUGCAUCUCUGUGUUUCAGUUGGGGUAGGGUAAUUUUCUGUUCAGUUUGAAGAGCUCCCCCUGGUAUUUCUUCCCGUGGAUGUCUUCCCAUAACAAUGUUUUUUUCUCAU
Molecule: long non-coding RNA, 1132 nt
Organism: Homo sapiens (human)
Lineage: Eukaryota; Metazoa; Chordata; Mammalia; Primates; Hominidae
Exons: 7
Source: RefSeq, a predicted model, not a curated record